UUUUUUCUUUUUUUUUUUUUUUAAGGGCUGCUCCUGCGGCAUAUGGAGGUUCCCAGGCUAGAGGUCUAAUCGGAGCUGUAGCUGCCAGCCUAUACCACAGUCACAGCAACGCUGGAUUCGAGCUGCUUCUGCGACCAACACCACAGCUCACGGCAAUGCUGGAUCCUUAGCCCACUGGGCAAGGCCAGGGAUUGAACCCACAUGCUGAUGGAUACUAGUUGGUUCUUAAUCCACUGAGCCACAACGGGAACUCUGGUGGCCUCCCCUUGGACAUGGACUCACAUUCAGAGAGAGGCCUGUCAGGCCUGCCCUGGGCUCCCCCACAGGCUUCCUCGAGGCCGUGCAUUUCAGGGCAAACCUUCCCUCAAACCCCCUGGGAUGUUUCCCAUCCAGUUCCUCACACUAGAGUCACCCCUCAGCCACUUCCUGUUUCGCUACUGGCCACCUGCCCUCUCAGGUGUCCCCACCCCCACCCGGGCAUCCCCUCCCUGCUGUGGGCUCCCUCCACCGGCUCCUCCUUCCCUCCUCACCAGGCCCCUGCCACUCAGGAAGGGGGGUGGGGGGCGUCUCUCCUUGCAGAAUUAGAGGCGUCCUCUGCUGGGCCCUCUGGCUGUCCUGGGCCCCAUCCUCCAUCUGGCUCUGGCUUUUAGGGACAACUCAGGAGCGAGCAGGUUGCUCUGCAGGGUGGGUGUGGACAGGAGGACAGCUGGAAGGCUGUUGGUUCCUGGGGUGGGCCUGAGCAAGGCCUUGGGGAGAAGAGACCCCGAAAGGAGGAUAGGAGAGGCAGCCCCAAAGGUGGCUCUUUCCUGUUUGAGAUCUGUCCCCUUUAUCUGCCUGAGAUCCAUAAACCUGUGUCUGUGUCGUUCAGCACAGCUUCUCCCGGAAGGUUCCAGAUACAAGAUGGACACUCGGUGUAUCACAACUGCAUAAGUGAAGUCAAGGGCAAAGGGCUGAGCAGGUCAAUGAGUCAUUCAGCAGUGCCCCCCACAAAGUGAAAGGACCCUCCACCACCCCAUGGCUCCCUCCAAAUAGGACAACUUGACAUAUGAACUAUUUUUGGUUUGUUUGUUUGUUUGCCUUUUUGCCUUUUCUAGGGUCGCUCCCGCAGCAUAUGGAGGUUCCCACGCUAGGGGUCUAAUCAGAGCUGUAGCCACCAGCCUACACCAAAGCCACAGCAACGCGGGAUCCAAGCCGUGUCUGAGACCUACACCACAGCUCACAGCAACGCUGGAUCCUUAACCCACUGAGCGAGGCCAGGGAUUGAACCUGCAACCUCAUGGCUCCUAGUCGGAUUCCUUAACCACUGAGCCAUGAUGGGAACUCCACAUAUGAACUAUUUUAAGCUGAAGGAGUCUGAGAAGAGGGCAGAAGCAGGAAGGUGACUUGGAUUGUCCUCCUGAAACAUCUCCCCGGAUACAGGCCAUAAAACCCUCGAGUGGGGGGUGCCCUCCCUGUACCUGGAAGUUUGUCUUAGCUCUGAAGACAAGGGAGGCCAAGAAGAAUUCUAACACACAGGCUGAGUCUCCCCCGUUUAUGGCACCUCCCUUGUGUUCCCAAGGCUGGCAAAGCCCCACAACUGCCCUCUCUUCAGUCCCAGCAUAAAAAUAUCAGACCUAACAGCUUCUUUGGGUCCUUCUUUCCUUACAAAGCCCCUCGUGUCCCAUAAAACCGACAUGAAACAGACUGUGCAUGCCUCUCUCCUGCUCAUCUAUCUUUGGCAGUUUCAUUUUCAGACCCAGCCAGGGACCCCAAGAGGGUCCAGGGAAACUUUUCCUCCCUUGUAUAGGUCAGUGAGCAGAUGUCGCAGGGUUGCUCACACAGCUGUCUGCAAGGGCAGGCGGGAACGGCAGCAGGAGGAGGAGAGGGAGUCACAUUCCUUCUGGGUCCCCCAAGCCUGUCUCUGGAGACCCUCACUGGUUUUGAUAGGGAUGGAAUAGGCACAGGUAGUUGUAGGAGUCCUAGUAAGUGAUCUUAGAUAGAUAGGGGACUUUGGGCCAUCACUGCAAGUUAAUUGUUGCUCAAGGAGUUCCUGUCAUGGCUCAGAGGAAAUGAAUCUGACUAGCAUCCAUGAGGAUGCAGAUUUAAUCCCAGGCCUCGGUCAGUGGGUUGAGGAUCCAGUGUUGCCCUGAGCUGUGGUGUAGAUCGUUAACCCACUGAGCAAGGGCAGGGAUCGAACCUGCAACCUCAUGGUUCCUAGUCGGAUUCAUUAACCACUGCGCCAUGACGGGAACUCCCCAAGGAUGCUUUCUUGACUAGAUCUCCGGACAGACAACUCUUGGGAGAUGAUGGGGGCUGGUGCCAAGGCUGACCUCCUGGGGGAUGAUGGGAAUUUUAUAGAGAGACAAUCUCUAUAAACUCCUAUUUCACCUCCAUGCUCUGCAGGCUCUCCUCCCCGCCCUCCGCUAGCCCGUGUUCUCUACCCACCAGGCCUCGUGGCUAGAAACGCCUUCUCCUUAACUUUGAAAUUUUGGAUGCAACUCUUUCUUUCCCUAAUGUACUGUUAUUUUCAAAUCUCUCCAGAAAGCCUGUAGCCAGCCCCACUCGCCCCCACCUCUCUAGAACACAGAUCACUGCUAGGGUUGAUGGCUUGGGUGUAGCUUGGGCAAAGCUUCCAGAGUUUUGACCUAUCAGGACUGGCUCAUAUGGAAUCCCAUGUUGCUUACAAAGGAAGAGAGUGCUUAGGAAAUUCUGUGAAGCACUUUUUUUGCAGGGGGAAAUUGGUAAUCCACUAAAAGAACAAAUUAUUUCCAAGCACUCCAACACCAUUUAUAGUCCAAUGCUGUUUAUACAUGAGGCCCAUCUACUUUUUAUUUUUUUAAUAAUGAUUUUUAUUUUUCCAUUAUAGCGCCAAGUACUUUCUAAAGCAGACCCGGCCCUGCCUCUCCUAAGGAAGAUUUUGUUAGCUGUGAUUCUGAUUUAUUCGACAGGAUGGAGAGCAACGACUAUUUGGCUGGAGAUGUGUGAUGCCUGAGGCUCCCUAGACCUUAACUUGAAUUAGUCCAAACCAGUGGUUUCACUGAAUGCCUCUUUAGCAUGAAAGAUUCUGUGAAUAACCCCUUCACACCCCGGCCCGAUAACGGCUGCACAACUCGUGGUGGGGAUCAUGCACCCUGACAAUCUUUCAGGAAGGGACCCCAUGCUCUGAAGUGAGGUAAAUGCUGUUGUGUCUCUGUUUCUGUGAGGGGACCACUGACUGAAGUGGCCACCUUGGCCAAGCACAGCAAUAGCCACUUGCAUGACUUGUCUCACAGCAGGAGGUCCUGACCGGGAGCCUGGUGCUGCUCUGAAGACUAACUGGAGGGUUGGGGAGGGGCCCACAGGAGGGAGGAGACAGCCACCUUCCCGGGAUCCUUGGCGCUGGAAUCCAUCUUGGCUGAGAAGUGCGUGUGCUGCCAAGAAGGACACUGAGCCAGACCCAGACCAAGUAGGGACCAAGCAGGACGACUGGCCAGAGACCACCCGGAAACGGUCCCCAUUCCCAUAAAACCUGAGACUGUGAGCCACCCGGCAGAGCAGGUCUCCUGGGUUCCCUCACCCUGCUGUUCCCCCCGCACCGGUACCAGCGCCCCUUCCCAGUCAAGUCUCUUGUGUUGUGUCAGCACGGGUGUCUCCUCGGACAUUUCAUUUCGUGUGUUCGCCAAGAGCCCAUUCUCAGGCCCUGGAAAGGGUCCCCCUUCCUGCAACAUUUCCAGGAGGCGGAGUAAGCAUAGGUAAGUGUGUGGUGACCAGACACCACGCAGGCAGAAUGGAGCAUCUAUCCCCAGGAAGGGAGCGGGGCCUCCUGACCAGGGCUGAGAGGGUCUCUCUGUGUUGCACCCUCAGAAGAUGUCUGAGUCUUGUUAGUUCUUUCCCCGAAGCAGGACAGCCUAUGGCCCCCUCCAGGGGAACCCCCACCCCCAUUCUCUUCCCAGGUCCCACCUCAUUCCUGAAAUAGAGGUAGGCCAGCUUGCAGCGGUGGAGUUACUGGACAGCAGGCAGAGCUGACCAACAGUUUUCUGUGGCCAGAGACGACCAAAUACCAGCUCAACACCCAGCAGCAGGGAUUUCGGUAGGAAGGUGCUGUGGCUUCCUCCAUAAGGAAGAAAGACCUAUCAGACCCUUCUUUCCUUCUUCUAGGAUCUUUUAUAAAAAUAGAUGAAGCAGCAGAUAUGGGCUAACCAUCCUGUUGUUACCGCCCGGUGAUUUGGCACAGGUCACUUCUCCUCAGACGUAACGGGGAGUUAGACUCAAAGAAAGCUGGGUCGGUUUCUGGGCUGAAUGUUCUAUGACUUGCAGACAGUGGCUCAAAACUUGGGACCGUUCCAAGUCUGACUCAGAGCCUUGGAAUUAGCAUUGGUCCUUCGGAGGAGUGGGACAGACAGCUGGAAGAAUAUCUGGGAGCUUUUGAAGGACCUGAGCUCAAUCAGGUGCCUGAAGUGUCAGCCUCCUACUCACUCCCAGGGAUUUGAAUCCUCUGAAGGGACCGUUCAGGGGUCCUGUAAUCAAAUGCAAAUUACGCCUUUAAGCACUGAAGGGGUGGGAGGAGGGAUUAGCUGACAGCCCUGGGAGCGCUGCCUCAGGCCCUUGGGACUGACAGCCCCCCACCGGGGAAGGUCAGGAGGGAAAGAACAGAAAAGGGAGAGAGCUCACGAGGGGUCAGAGGCCUCCGGGGCCCCCACUUCAUCUCCAGUGUGCCCCUGAACACGGCCCUGGAUGGGGGGCUAAUCCCCAGGCUGCCUGCCCUCGGCAUUGUCUUGGUGGGGUCAAGACCCCCACCCCAUGCAUCCCUGGCUACACUUUUGGCCCACGGUGCUCCGUGCUAGCCCGAAACUCUCCAGGCCAGGCUGAGACCUGGACACAUCCCCUCUGUUCCUCUCCUUCCUCCCCAGGCUCAGAGAAGUUGGGACAGAAUGCAAGGAGCGGGCGGGGGUGGCUGAUGGGGCCAUAGCCCAGAGAAGGGCAGGCAGAGGGUGGCAGGGGCAGCUGGGAACCAGCGCCAACAAAGUAAACCAAACUCUCUCCCCCGUGCCCUUCCCAUUCUACCCCGCAACGCUUUCCAAUCAGGGAAUCUAAAAUUACCAUAUUUACAGCAUCUGCAGCCACGCCGAGCACUAAACAAGAUGAAUAGCCGUGACGCACGAACUGAGUACAAGUAUGCAGCUUGGCUGGGCUGGGCUGGGCUGGGCACCAGGGUGAGUGAGCCACAGGGGGAGCAUGGUGAGGUCCCAGGCAGGGUGAUGGACGGGACUCACCAGGCACUAAAGGGAGGUGGGAGAGCGGUGAGGAAGUCCUGGCAAUGUCCAUCUUCUAGGAAAACAGAGAGAUGGAGCAAUUAGCAAAGGAAGGGGGUAGAGAUAGAGAUAGAGCGAUAUAGUUGGAUGGAUGGAUGGAUGGAUGGAUGGUUGAAUGGAUAGACUAUGAGAAUAUGUGCUAACUUUAGAAGGCUCCCUUUCCUCCUACUGCCUCCCUACCUAAGAGGAAACUGUUGAGACCUCUAAGGCAGGAUCCCUUCGUGGGUGUGUGUGUGUGUGUGUUGCGAGGUCCUCUACCAGAAUCUUGCUUUGGACUCUUAGGUCUGUGAGUCCUCUUCCCCCAAGCAGCCUCUUCCAGGAAAGCUCUGGUCAACCACAAAAACUAAAUGACUCCAUUCAUAAAAAGGGCCUGACCGUCUGGCAAAGGCAAUGGAGCUCUGGGGGAGACCAAGAGGGGAAUGAUGGGCGUGUGCUCCAUGUGAGAGGUCCCAGCAGGCUCCCAGCCUAGCCUGUUCUUAAUCUGGAGGAAAGAUGUCCAGGUAAAGAGCGUACAGACUCAUAACUUGCAGAUGCUCGUUCAGAGACUUUCCAGACUGGGAGGGACCUCAAUACACCAGAGAGAGGGGAAGAGGUGGGUACCAGGCACUGAGGGGAGCAGGGCCAGCCAGGAACCAGCUCCAACAGAGUGAUCCACUCUCAGGCUUC
RNAcentral lists this long non-coding RNA (5936 nucleotides) under Sus scrofa (pig). RNAcentral describes it as "lncRNA (ENSSSCG00040054366.1)". Lineage: Eukaryota; Metazoa; Chordata; Mammalia; Artiodactyla; Suidae. The record is from RNAcentral.